UACGGGGGGAGCAAGCGUUAUCCGGAUUUACUGGGCGUAAAGCGCGUGCAGGUGGUUCGGCAAGUUGGAUGUGAAAGCUCCUGGCUCAACUGGGAGAGGUCGUUCAAAACUACCGGACUUGAGAGCAGUAGAGGGAGGUGGAAUUCCCGGUGUAGUGGUGAAAUGCGUAGAUAUCGGGAGGAACACCAGUGGCGAAAGCGGCCUCCUGGACUGUUUCUGACACUCAGACGCGAAAGCUAGGGUAGCAAACGGG
Molecule: ribosomal RNA, 253 nt
Filed under: uncultured bacterium
Lineage: Bacteria
Description: partial 16S ribosomal RNA
Rfam family: Bacterial small subunit ribosomal RNA
Source: RNAcentral